RNAcentral lists this long non-coding RNA (5332 nucleotides) under Sus scrofa (pig). Its description in RNAcentral is "lncRNA (ENSSSCG00015037433.1)". Lineage: Eukaryota; Metazoa; Chordata; Mammalia; Artiodactyla; Suidae. The record is from RNAcentral.
GCACAACCAAAAACAAACAAACAACAACCCCAAACCCUCCAAAGCAACGGAGAAGGUGAAGACAAGAAAAAGCCCAUUGUACUUGACAAAAAAGUAUAGCUCCCCAAAUAAAAGACUGAGUGUCUGAAUACUUUUCUGCUCUUGAGAAAGGAAGAAACAGAGUCUAUGAAAGGACAGUGCAAAUGUGAACACUUGAAAAAUUCUGAGUCCUCCACUACAGUGUGAAAUUCAUCAUCCGAAUUCUCAUAGAUUUAAGCUUCACGAUUUGUGAGGUAUUGCAGUGAAAUUAUUUGGGAAGCAGAGAGUUCUAUAAGCAUCCAGCUGUCAGAAUUCAACUGGCCACAUGACUAAUGACUUUGUGAGGCACAUUCAGGGCCUUCCAUUUCCCAAGCACUUGAUAAACAUGGAGUAAUCUCACAGUGCCCUUGUGAGAUAUUAUCAUGUUCAUUUUCCAUAUGGUUAACUGAGCCCAGGAGGUUAAAUGACGUGCUCAGAGGCCACACACACAGUCAAUGACAUCAAACGCUCAGAACGAAGGCGCUCCCAGGUCCCACACCUCACAGUAGAUUGCUGAACCGAAUCCCUCUCCUAGCACCAUUGAGAAGCCUGAAUGACAGGCCAGUGCGGUAAUAGAUCAUACUUUACAGCUGAGAUAAGUGAGGAUUAGCAUGCUGUCCCAUGCAGGUCAGGGCUGGCCCCUGGAAAGAGAGAGAGAAAACGAUGCUCUGCAAGACCAUGUGACGUAUAAAAGGAAGAGUAGAACCAGACAUGGGUGAGAUCUCUCUGUGAAUUUCCAAAGACCUUUAUUUACCAAGAUGGGAGGUGGAAUGCCAGUGGAGACAGGCAGGCUAGGUGUAGUCUUUGGUUGACAAGCGUCUUAAAUCUGAACUAUGAUGCCCUUACCUUCCUUACAAAUACUUGCAUUCUUCUUUACCAUUCAGUUUCAAUUUUAAUUGUCUUAUUAUACUUCUUCCUAGCUUCAUAUUUCUCAAGCUGAUGCUCUUUGGGUCUAAAAAUAUGCCAAAAUAUUGUCAUACUGUCAACUCCUAUGCACAUGGCCUUUAAGAAGACCACAGUCUCUGAUGAAUUGGUUCACAUAAGGUGAAAUCUGACAGUCCGUAAUUGAGUAGCUCCCUAGGUUAGGAUACAUGCCUUUGAUUUGCAAUGCUAUAUUUUCAGCCAAGUCUUAAAACUUUUUUGUGCCUUAGUUAUUUCCAAAUGAAGAUAAGAGCAUGGAGAGAAUGCUGUUGAUGCUUUGCCCAUAUUCCCCUUCUAUACAGGAGCCUGCAGACCCAAUGACUCCAACUGCAUGCACUUGUGACUCUGCCUGCGGGCCUUCUCUGACCCGGUCAGAAACCUGGAGCGAUAGUGCCCUGAGAGUAGACCUCAAGCCAAGACUGAUGCGAACUGAAGCAAGAAAGUACCUUCUUUACCACUCAGGCCUUCAACAGAUUGGCUGAUGCCCACCCACAGAGGGAAAGGCAGUCUCCUUUAUUCAGUCUGCAGCUUCAAAUGUGAUGAUCUUCUGGAAACUCCUUCACAGGCAUACCCAGAGAUAGCUUUCUGGUAACUGAUUCUCCCGCUCAUAAACGCCUACAGGGAGCAGAGAGGUGGCUGCUUGAAACUGAAGGUAAAUGCACUGCCUGAUUUACUGGUACAGAAUCACUUUCUCCAUCUGCACUCCCUAAGCCCUCCCUGUCCUUUGAUCCUGAACUGAGCUGCUUUAAAAAGAAAGAUGCUUGGGGCUGGAACAAGGUCUGCCUGCUCCAAGGGGGACUGGAGGCCAUUCAUACCCACGUGAGUACAUUUGGAAACUUUGGGGAGAGGAAGACUUUGAAAAUUGAAGUUCUAUUGGAUAAAGGCAACUAAGUCAUUGUCCUAUGAAGUCCUAAUUGAAGGAAUUUGGGCAGGAUAUACAGUGGGGAAGGGAAGUAAAGCAUAACUCUGUGGAUGGGUCUCUGUUCAAAUCUUUUGCCCAUUUAAAACAACAUUUUACAAAAAAUUUAUGGCUGCACUGGUGGCAUAUGGAACUUCUCGAGCCAGGAACUGAAUCCAAGCCACAGCUGUUAUGCCACAGCUGUGGCAAUGCUGGAUCCUUUAACCCACUGCAUCAGGGUGGGCAUUGAAUUCCUCUUUGGCCCAUUUUUAAAUUGGAUUUUUUUGCCUUUUAUAUUAUUGAGUUCAAGAGUUCUUUAGAUAAUCUGGGUACAACUUCUUUGUCAGGGAUGUCUUGUGAGUAUCUUCUCCCGAUCCAACAGCACUUUUUACGUUGUUUUCAUUUCAAAAGAGCUCCUCUAAUAAAUUAUGUUUUGUUGAGGUCAAGACUACCGCUGUUCUUUCAAGGUUAUGCUCACAUUCUUUUGAGUCUCUUAAAAGAGCAGUGCAUUUUAUGUACAUUCAUUCCUAUUUAAUGCACUAGUGUUUACCAAUGUCCAUCUACCAAAAUACUUUGGCCAGUCACUGACUUGUGGUGAAUGCUUCUUAAAUUGCCUAUGGUUUCAGAUCCCUGGCUUAGGUGAAAAAUACUCGCUCACCACACUGAGGUGAAAGUCACAUUAGCUGUGUGAGGCAAGGGCCGUCUUAGCCUACCCCAACAUCGCUGUCCCUUUGCUCCUGAUUCAACACAGGAGGCAAUGUGCUUAGCUUCCUUGUAGCUAGGUGUGGUCUUGUGACCAGUCCCUGGAGAAUAAGCUGUCACCUUCUUUGAGAAAUUAAUAUUUCAUUGUUGUUAUCACUAUCUUUAGGCUUCAGACAAAUGCCAAUGGUCGUACAUAUUGAAAGCUUUACCAGAUGGAAGGUUUUUGUUCCUCCCUUUGUCCGUUUAGCUUUCUUUCCUCUCCUUUCCUUUUCCUUCCUACCUUUCCCGGCUCUCUCUUAUUCUUUCCCAUCGCUCUUCCCCCUUUCUCCAGAAGAAGAGCUUUAUAUUUUAGGGAUAAGUUUACAACAGAUAGACUAUAAGUGGUCAGCUGGUCUUAAAUGCCUUGAGGCUGGGGAGUGAGGCAGUAGGAAGUUUCAUUCUGAUGUAGAAGCUUUUGUCAGCUUCCAUUCUAGGCUCAUUUAUACAUCCUCUCUGGUACUUAACUUCAUUUGCUUUUAAUAAUCUACUCUUCUGUGGUUUUGACUUUCCAUUGCCUCCUACACAUCUGUUUGGAUUGAUAUUCUGCUGUUCGUCAUGCAAGCAUGAUUUCACUUUGAAAAUGAUUUCCUUUUGAUGGAUGCUCUUGUUGUUCAGGCAAGCAUGGUCUUGUGUUCUUAAGAUUCUCUGUUAAGCUGGUCUCAGCACUCCCAAAAAUCAUCCCUCAGGGUCUCAGGCAUUCACUCAUACUAGCUCCACACUUCUUUGUAAUUAAAUGCCAAAAAUGUUGCAUUCCUUGGAUUUAUCUAUAUCAGGGCUUGGCAAACUACAGCUGGUGGGCAAAAUCUGGUCUUGGCUUGUUUCUGCCUGGCCUGCGAGCUAAGACUGAUUUUUAUGUUUUUUAAGUAUUGUAAAAGCAAACAAAACACAAAGCAGAAGAUGUGAGAGGCUGUAGCCACAGAACCUAACAUAUUUACUAGGCUCUUAAUUGAAAAAGCUUGCCUAUGCCUGACCUAUAUGAUUAAUGAAGUUUCUGUCUAUGUGACACCCACCUCAUCACUGAAAACAAGUCAUAUGUCUUUCCAGGGCUGUUUUUGGUAUAGUUUGACUUUAAGUAUGAGCUGUGAAGACUAUAUAAAAUGCACCUUAGGGAGAUCCUGGGAAUGAUAUCAGGAGUUAGGUAGUGAUCUCCCAAGGCAGCCAAAACUAAGACUCAGUGAGAGAUCGUGUAUGAUUGAGACACACCAGACAAACAAUGGUUGUAAAUACAAGCCCCCAAGUGAAAAUACCAAGAAUCAAUGCUCCCAAUUAAAGUGAAGACUGAGCUGCUUUUCCUUUGGCCUUCUCCACAGCAAGAAGAGAGGCGUGGGGAGCUGUAGCUCCAAGGACUUAUUUACCUGAUGACAGGCAGUAAUCCGCCCAAAAAACCUCAGAGGGAGGUCAACCAGCACGAAAUUUCCCUCAUUCAUAUCAUUCACUAUGCACACUGCUCAUUAUACAGUGGAAAGGAACACGCUGUGGUGCACUUGCCUUCUAUAUUAUGACAUCUGCAAUCAACUUGAACACAACACUAGUUAUUUUUACACUGAAAAACUUUGACCCUAUGGUCUCCCUAGUGUACACAUGCAGCAGGUUUUUCCUCACUCAACCAUCUUCAACCAUCUCUCUACCUUAUGCCACAUACCCCUUCCUGUGCCUCUACCCAGGUAGGUCCCCACCUGGAAUGGCUCUCUCCUAAUUCUGCUGAUUGAAAUUGUUCAGCCUUCAAGCCCUGACUCAAACACCUUUCCUCAGAAACCUUUCCAGAUUCCCUCAGUCAGAACUCCUUCCUCUAGGCCCGAGGAUUCCAAUGGCCCUGGACCAAUUUUAAGCUUGUUUCUUGGCCUGAGGCUUCCCCACCAUGCAGAGAAGUAUAAAAUCCACCUGACACACCCAAAUGUGUCACAGAACUUGGCUUGUGAUUUCUGGUGACUGUUUUCCAACCCAACAUCCAGAAGGACAGCAAGCUUCUUCAAGGUUUAUCUAGACUAGUGGGGAGUUUUCCUGACCCCCUUUCCCUGGAGCAGGCAGUGCUUCAGGGUUCUGUCACGACCAAGGUCGAGUUAGGUUCCCAACAUCAUGGGGCCCAGGCUGAACUUCCUGUCCUUGAGGUGGCAGUCCUUAAGGCUUGAAUCCUUUCCAAUCCCUUUGGGCUGCUGCUACAUCACACUGCCAUUGCAUACUGCUCUGGCUUUGGUUUCUUUGUGUCUGCUUCCUACAUUUUUACCUUUCUUUUGUGCUAGGCUUGCAUUGUGGUGUUGUCUUAUGUUAUCUAGUAUCUCUGUGUUUUGGGAGCCUUGUGUAAGGACAAUGAUGCUGGAGGGAAGCCUGCUCACUCCAGCUCAUUCUGCCAUGUUGCCUGAUGGUCUCAGAGCAGUAUAUGAAGUUCUGUUUAAUUUUGGAAGUGGUCAUGAUUAUUCAUUUCAUUUCAUUUGAGAGAAUAGGAAGAUGCUGAAUAUGCUACUUAUGUAAUAUCACUACAUCUCUAAAUCUAGAUGUCUAGGGGUCCCACACAAUAUUGUUUCUAAAUUUUUCCAUCUAAAGAAAUAGAUCCCACAAGUUCCCAUUGUGGCUCAGUGGGUUUCAAACCCGACUAGUACCUAUGAGCAUGAGGGUUUGAUCCCUGACCUUGCUCGUUGGGUUAAGGAUCUGGUUGGAUCACAGGCUUGGCUUGGAUCCCAAAUUGCUGUGGCUGUGGCUGGUGGCUGUAGCUCCAAU